UUGUUUGAAAGAUGGCUUUGGCUAUCACUCUGGGAUGGACCUGCGGUGCAUUAGCUAGUUGGUAAGGUAACGGCUUACCAAGGCGAUGAUGCAUAGCCGAGUUGAGAGACUGAUCGGCCACAAUGGAACUGAGACACGGUCCAUACUCCUACGGGAGGCAGCAGUAGGGAAUCUUCCACAAUGGGCGCAAGCCUGAUGGAGCAACACCGCGUGAGUGAAGAAGGGUUUCGGCUCGUAAAGCUCUGUUGUUGGAGAAGAACGUGCGUGAGAGUAACUGUUCACGCAGUGACGGUAUCCAACCAGAAAGUCACGGCUAACUACGUGCCAGCAGCCGCGGUAAUACGUAGGUGGCAAGCGUUAUCCGGAUUUAUUGGGCGUAAAGCGAGCGCAGGCGGUUGCUUAGGUCUGAUGUGAAAGCCUUCGGCUUAACCGAAGAAGUGC
RNAcentral lists this ribosomal RNA (441 nucleotides) under Limosilactobacillus reuteri. RNAcentral's name for it is "bacterial SSU rRNA". It matches the Rfam family "Bacterial small subunit ribosomal RNA", at positions 196 to 624 of the family's 1533-position model. Lineage: Bacteria; Bacillati; Bacillota; Bacilli; Lactobacillales; Lactobacillaceae. The record is from RNAcentral.